ACGGAAUUUACAUGAAGCCUAGCGAUUGUAAAUUUAGUGGCGGACGGGUGAGUAACGCGUGGGUAACCUGCCUUGUACUGGGGGACAACAGUUGGAAACGACUGCUAAUACCGCAUAAGCGCACAGCUUCGCAUGAAGCAGUGUGAAAAACUCCGGUGGUACAAGAUGGACCCGCGUCUGAUUAGCUGGUUGGUGAGGUAACGGCCCACCAAGGCGACGAUCAGUAGCCGGCCUGAGAGGGUGAACGGCCACAUUGGGACUGAGACACGGCCCAAACUCCUACGGGAGGCAGCAGUGGGGAAUAUUGCACAAUGGGGGAAACCCUGAUGCAGCAACGCCGCGUGAGUGAAGAAGUAUUUCGGUAUGUAAAGCUCUAUCAGCAGGAAAGAAAAUGACGGUACCUGACUAAGAAGCCCCGGCUAACUACGUGCCAGCAGCCGCGGUAAUACGUAGGGGGCAAGCGUUAUCCGGAUUCACUGGGUGUAAAGGGAGCGUAGACGGUUUUGCAAGUCUGAAGUGAAAGCCCGGGGCUUAACCCCGGGACUGCUUUGGAAACUGUAGGACUAGAGUGCAGGAGAGGUAAGUGGAAUUCCUAGUGUAGCGGUGAAAUGCGUAGAUAUUAGGAGGAACACCAGUGGCGAAG
This 643-nucleotide ribosomal RNA is filed under the name uncultured bacterium. Its description in RNAcentral is "bacterial SSU rRNA". It matches the Rfam family "Bacterial small subunit ribosomal RNA", at positions 66 to 720 of the family's 1533-position model. The record is from RNAcentral.